AGCCACUCUAACGUCAAAUGUUUCCACAACAAUCGAGAAGAUUGCAUCAGUUUGAAUCAAAUUUUCAACCAAACCAGUGGAGUUAAAACUUUAUCGAAAAACAAAUCAAAUCGCAUAAUAAAUCCGUGAUUAUUUCAAUUAGUGAUUAAUUUUGUAUACACAAUCGAUUACGCUAAUCGUAAUAGCAGAAGAAGUGCUAAAUUGUGAUAAUGGAAGGCCAGGGAAAGAAAAAGGGGAAGAAGAAUCGCCCCGCAGGAGGAACUCAAUCCGGAGAAUCAUCCGGGCCUGCAGCGGGUCAGCAGCAGAAGCAGCAGCAACAACCACAACAGCAGAAACAGCAACAACAGCA
Molecule: long non-coding RNA, 349 nt
Organism: Aedes aegypti (yellow fever mosquito)
Lineage: Eukaryota; Metazoa; Arthropoda; Insecta; Diptera; Culicidae
Exons: 2
Source: RefSeq, a predicted model, not a curated record